CUUUCCUAUGAAAGAAAUAACAAAAGCAAUGACAAUUAAUCCUUAAUCCCAAACUAGUUAGGUUCAGGUUGGCUUUAUGGACUGUUUUUUGCUAUUAAGCUCUGUUAGACACCAUGUCUACCUUAAUAUCCAAGACUUGUAAAUCUUGUGAUACUAUUUCCCUUGACGUCAUCUUAAGCCUCCGCCUUCCCUUUUUCAGUCCUUUCACUAUUAACUUAUCACACUUCCAUACUGG
RNAcentral lists this unclassified non-coding RNA (235 nucleotides) under Hevea brasiliensis (rubber tree). The record is from RNAcentral. Lineage: Eukaryota; Viridiplantae; Streptophyta; Magnoliopsida; Malpighiales; Euphorbiaceae.